CCUACGGGUGGCAGCAGUGGGGAAUAUUGCACAAUGGGCGCAAGCCUGAUGCAGCCAUGCCGCGUGUGUGAAGAAGGCCUUCGGGUUGUAAAGCACUUUCAGCGGGGAGGAAGGCGGUGAGGUUAAUAACCUCAUCGAUUGACGUUACCCACAGAAGAAGCACCGGCUAACUCCGUGCUAGCAGCCGCGGUAAUACGGAGGGUGCAAGCGUUAAUCGGAAUUACUGGGCGUAAAGCGCACGCAGGCGGUCUGUCAAGUCGGAUGUGAAAUCCCCGGGCUCAACCUGGGAACUGCAUUCGAAACUGGCAGGCUAGAGUCUUGUAGAGGGGGGUAGAAUUCCAGGUGUAGCGGUGAAAUGCGUAGAGAUCUGGAGGAAUACCGGUGGCGAAGGCGGCCCCCUGGACAAAGACUGACGCUCAGGUGCGAAAGCGUGGGGAGCAAACAGGAUUAGAUACCCUAGUAGUC
Molecule: ribosomal RNA, 465 nt
Filed under: uncultured Klebsiella sp.
Lineage: Bacteria; Pseudomonadati; Pseudomonadota; Gammaproteobacteria; Enterobacterales; Enterobacteriaceae
Description: bacterial SSU rRNA
Rfam family: Bacterial small subunit ribosomal RNA
Source: RNAcentral